GACCCCGUAGCUCAGCUGGAUAGAGCAUCUGCCUUCUAAGCAGACGGUCAUUGGUUCGAAUCCAAUCGGGGCCA
This 74-nucleotide transfer RNA is filed under the name Hymenobacter wooponensis. RNAcentral's name for it is "tRNA-Arg". It matches the Rfam family "tRNA". Rfam says of the family: Transfer RNA (tRNA) molecules are approximately 80 nucleotides in length. The record is from RNAcentral. RNAcentral also lists the same sequence under 2 other names. Lineage: Bacteria; Pseudomonadati; Bacteroidota; Cytophagia; Cytophagales; Hymenobacteraceae.